This 519-nucleotide ribosomal RNA is filed under the name uncultured Glomus. RNAcentral describes it as "SSU rRNA". It matches the Rfam family "Eukaryotic small subunit ribosomal RNA", at positions 569 to 1092 of the family's 1831-position model. The record is from RNAcentral. RNAcentral also lists the same sequence under 1 other name. Lineage: Eukaryota; Fungi; Glomeromycota; Glomeromycetes; Glomerales; Glomeraceae.
AGCAGCCGCGGUAAUUCCAGCUCCAAUAGCGUAUAUUAAAGUUGUUGCAGUUAAAAAGCUCGUAGUUGAAUUUCGGGAUUAGUACGUUGGUCGUGCCUUAGGUACGUACUGGUGUUACUGGUUCCUACCUUCUGACGAACCAUCAUGUCAUUAAUUUGGUGUGGCGGGGAAUCAGGACUGUUACUUUGAAAAAAUUAGAGUGUUUAAAGCAGGCUCGCGCUUGAAUACAUUAGCAUGGAAUAAUGAAAUAGGACGUUGACCCUAUUUUGUUGGUUUCUAGGAUUGACGUAAUGAUUAAUAGGGAUAGUUGGGGGCAUUAGUAUUCAAUUGUCAGAGGUGAAAUUCUUGGAUUUAUUGAAGACUAACUACUGCGAAAGCAUUUGCCAAGGAUGUUUUCAUUAAUCAAGAACGAAAGUUAGGGGAUCGAAGACGAUCAGAUACCGUCGUAGUCUUAACCAUAAACUAUGCCGACUAGGGAUCGGAUGAUGUUAUUUUUAAUGACUCAUUCGGCGCCUUACG